This is a long non-coding RNA of Herpailurus yagouaroundi (jaguarundi), 2170 nucleotides long. RefSeq lists it as uncharacterized. The record is from RefSeq and is a predicted model, not a curated record. The transcript has 3 exons. NCBI's taxonomy places the organism in Eukaryota, Metazoa, Chordata, Mammalia, Carnivora, Felidae.
AUUGGAGGGCAGGCGAGUGGUUUCCCUGGCUGUUAGAGCCUGUAGAGAUCACCCUGUUCCUUUCACAUGCUGCCCUGGCUGCUGGGAGCUGUGGAACUUCCCAUAAUCGGUCCUUUUGAAAACUUCCCACUGGCCAUAUCGAACAAGCAUCUGUACCCACAAUAAGAGUGAGUUGCCUGCAUUUGCCAUCUUGUCUCAACUAACACCGCCUACAGAAGCUGACAAUGACUGUUGGGCUUUUCCAGUGGAUGCCGGAACCGAUUUCUUGCAGCCUGGGGGGGGGGGGGGGGCCCCCAGAAUAACUGGCAGCAGGAGGAGCAGAGAGAGGAGGCAACUUGGCCAAGGUCAGGUAGCAAGUGAGGAAAAGGCCCCUCUCCUGUGGGGUCUGGGUUCGUUGCCGACUGGGCCUGCACUGAAGACAGCCAAGUGAGGACAGCCCAUCAUCCUGGAGCUGCUGCCGCAAAUCCAAAUUAACCAGAGGAAGACAGCAGGCAGCACCAGGGAGGAUGAGCACCCAAGGGCCGGCCAUGCACCCUCCAUGUCCAGAAGGUAAUAGACACCUGCUUCCUUGUCUCUUUGUACCUGCCCCCUGGCCCCCGUUUUCCUCUCUUGAGUCCUCCCCAGGUGUGGGGACAGGAGCACAGCCCUGGGAUUGGCAGGGACAAGGGGAGGAGACUGUGCUUUUCUGGUAGCCAGCCUUGCUCAUCGAUUCCCUAGAGCUGCUCACUGAUCCAGCACAAGAUGGUUUAAUUGAAGUCAUUACAAUAAAUGGUGCAGAAAAGCAACACCCUUAGUCUGCCAGGAGCCUCAGAGAAGCAGGGGAGGGCACUGGGAAACCCAGCGGAAGCAGCUGAAGUUAGCUCACAGUUGCUGUGGUGGAAAAGGGACUGGGCUGAGAAAGCAGGUAGUCCUGGGUUCAAAUCCUGACUGGGUCGCUAGCAAGCUGUGCACCCUUAGUAAAGUUACUUUAUCUUCCUGAGCUGCUGUGUUCCUGUCUCCAGGAAGCCUUCCCUCCUUCAUCCCCCAUUUCUCCUUCCCCCACACACCGUUAGCACUUGCUAACUUUGACACUGAUUUGGCUUCCAGCACUCUCUGUCUGCUUAGCAAUCUUUUCCCUCCGUAGUUUGUCUUCUCAUCUAGAUAACAAGCAGGAACUGUAUCUUCUCUUUCUCACCCUUAUGUGCCUAUCACAUGCCUAACAUUGUCAUUGUACCCAGCGGGGUGGGGGAGUGGAGGGGAGUGGCAAGGUGGAGUGAGGGGCAGAGAUUCAGAACCCGGGGGUGGGCACAGAAAGAAUGCAGCAGGGGCUGGUAGAUGACAAUCUACCCUGAGCUCCCUUCCCAGAUAAUUGGAACGAUGCAGCCAUUAUAUUCGUACACCUUUAGCAUGAGACACAGCCCCCUCUGUGCCCAGGCCCAGCUGGCUCUCUGCUCGGCAUCAUGAACUACUAUCUCAUUCAGUAGCAGAGGACAGAGGAUCCAGGUCAUGAAAUCAUCAAAUUCUAGCAUCAAAAGACAAAAUCAUGCAGCAAAAGUGAUAUCUUGGUACUUCCAAGUCUAAAUCCUAAGGAGCCUUGCAGCUUCCACGUGGGGUGUCUUGGAACACCUGAUCUUGGAAUGUUCCCUCUCAGAACUCAGACAUCACACCAUGAGAAGCCCAAACCACGUGGAGAAGCCAGGUCGAGGUACUCCAUUUGCCAGGGCCAGCCGAGUUCCCAGCUCACAGCAUCAACUGCGAGCCCUGAGAGUGCGCCAUCUUGGACAUCCAGCCCCAUGGAGCCUGCAGGUGACUCCAGCUCUAACCACGACCUGAUGCAACCACUUGAGAAAUCCCAAGAAAGAAUCUCCCAGAUGAGCCCAGUCAACCCGUGGAACUGUAAGAAAUAACAACAAAUUCUUAUUUUAUGCUUCUAAAAAUAUAUUUGUAAAUAAAUCUUACAGAACUGUCAUUUUACUAGAGCUCAGAGAUUCCGUGUGAUGUAUCCAAGGUCGCACAAUGAGGCAGAGCCCGGUGCGUUUAACUGUGGCCACCCUAUCGCCACCACCAGAGAAGACAAAGAGAAGUGAGCCAUCCAGGGCAGGAGUGAAGAGGGAGAGAGGAAGAGAGCUGGAUUUUAUAGAAAAUGUCCCAAGUUAAUUCUGUUUAGGAAAAAAAUUAUUCCUUGAAUGUG